This 376-nucleotide ribosomal RNA is filed under the name uncultured bacterium. Its description in RNAcentral is "bacterial SSU rRNA". It matches the Rfam family "Bacterial small subunit ribosomal RNA", at positions 524 to 898 of the family's 1533-position model. The record is from RNAcentral.
UACGGAGGGUGCGAGCGUUGUUCGGAAUCACUGGGCGUAAAGGGCGCGCAGGCGGUUUGGCAAGUCAGAUGUGAAAUCCCACGGCUUAACUGUGGAAGUGCAUUUGAAACUGCCAGGCUUGAGUACCAGAGGGGAAAGUGGAAUUCCCGGUGUAGAGGUGAAAUUCGUAGAUAUCGGGAGGAAUACCGGUGGCGAAGGCGACUUUCUGGCUGGAUACUGACGCUGAGGCGCGAAAGCGUGGGGAGCAAACAGGAUUAGAUACCCUGGUAGUCCACGCCGUAAACGAUGUGAACUAGAUGUAGGGGGUGUUGAUCCCCUCUGUGUCGCAGCUAACGCAUUAAGUUCACCGCCUGGGGAGUACGGUCGCAAGAUUAAA